Molecule: ribosomal RNA, 465 nt
Filed under: uncultured bacterium
Lineage: Bacteria
Description: partial 16S ribosomal RNA
Rfam family: Bacterial small subunit ribosomal RNA
Source: RNAcentral
GACGAACGCUGGCGGCGUGCUUAACACAUGCAAGUCGAACGGAAAGGCCCCUUUGGGGGUCCUCGAGUGGCGCACGGGUGAGUAACACGUGAGUAACCUGCCCUUGACUUCGGGAUAACUUCAGGAAACUGGGGCUAAUACCGGAUAGGAAUCCUUGCUGCAUGGUGGGGGUUGGAAAGCUUCGGCGGUUUUGGAUGGACUCGCGGCUUAUCAGCUUGUUGGUGGGGUAGUGGCUUACCAAGGCUUUGACGGGUAGCCGGCCUGAGAGGGCGACCGGCCACAUUGGGACUGAGAUACGGCCCAGACUCCUACGGGAGGCAGCAGGGGGGAAUAUUGCACAAUGGGCGGAAGCCUGAUGCAGCAACGCCGCGUGCGGGAGGACGGCCUUCGGGUUGUAAACCGCUUUCAGCAGGGGCGAAGCUUGUGGUGACGGUACCUGCAGAAGAAGCACCGGCUAACUACGUG